This 433-nucleotide ribosomal RNA is filed under the name uncultured bacterium. Its description in RNAcentral is "partial 16S ribosomal RNA". It matches the Rfam family "Bacterial small subunit ribosomal RNA", at positions 29 to 507 of the family's 1533-position model. The record is from RNAcentral.
AAUGAACGCUGGCGGCAUGCCUAACACAUGCAAGUCGAACGAGAGCAUCGGGUCUAGUGGCGCACGGGUGUGUCACGCGUCGGAACCUGCCCUUAUGUUUGGAAUACCUCCCCGACAGGGGUGCUAAUACCGGAUAAUGUCUUCUAACCAAAGAUUUAUCGCGUUUGUAUGGGCAGGCGUUGGAUUCGCUAGUUGGUAGGGUAAAAGCCUACCACGGCGUCGAUCCAUAGCUGGUCAGAGAGGCAGGUCAGCGACACUGGGACUCAGACACGGCCGGGACUCUUACGGGAGGGAGCAGUGGGGGAUAGUGGACAAUGGGCGAAGGGCUGAUCCAGCUAGGCCGGGUGAGUGAUGAAGGUCGGAGGGUUGUAAAGCUCUUUUACCCGGGAUGAUAAUGACGGUACCGGGAGAAUAAGCUCCGGCUAACUCCGUG